Long non-coding RNA from Manihot esculenta (cassava), 236 nucleotides. RefSeq lists it as uncharacterized. The record is from RefSeq and is a predicted model, not a curated record. Lineage: Eukaryota; Viridiplantae; Streptophyta; Magnoliopsida; Malpighiales; Euphorbiaceae. The transcript has 2 exons.
CCAUGCUUGGCUGUUUCUUUCCACAGUUGAAGAAGCGCGAAAAUGAUGCUGGCCGAUGUAAAGGCGGCACAAACAUCGGACAUGAGGGGGUUAUCCAAGAGCAUAGUGGCCAACGCCGCCGGCGACUUAGGCGUUUACAAAGCAGCCAAAGGCGGAGAGGGAAAAGACAUUUACUUGGUCGAAGAUGCGUCGUUUUGCUGUUUCUUGCCAGAUGCGGAGUAGCGAGAGAGCAAUAG